Pimephales promelas (fathead minnow) is the source of this 870-nucleotide non-coding RNA. The record is from RefSeq and is a predicted model, not a curated record. Lineage: Eukaryota; Metazoa; Chordata; Actinopteri; Cypriniformes; Leuciscidae.
CUUCAGAUUCUGCCUGCGAAAGCAGCAUGCAUGGUUCAGGUUUCGGACACAGCAAGAGUAUCAUCGAGAAAGUGACAACCACUGAUCCCUGCAAAUACAAUGUAAUCUCUCUCAAGUAAACAUGUUUGUUCUGUGCUAAAAGUGAUUUUGACAGCCAUAGCUAAGGGCUCCUAUACUUGCUUUAAUCCUGCGACAUAUCUUUCCGACUUGGGACUGCGGCUUCUUAGGCACUUCUCUCAUUCAGAACAGUGAAGUCAAUGGAUCCUUACAUCCCAGCUUGACAAGUUAGGAGGAUACAAGCUAAUCCCCUAAUCUGUCUAUUCUCCCGUGCAGUGCCAAAGGGGGAGAGGUACCCAGCACAAGUAAUCCUAUAGAAAAAACAAUAGGAUUAGACCCCAGCUCUUGGAGUGACAAUCAGAUAUCUACUGACUGAUUUGCAAAGUAGGGUCGAGUUUCUUCAAAUUAGCUUUUUUUCCCUCCUCUGGGGAAAAGGUGCCUUUCAUUAACUGCUGGUGGGAUUCCUUUAGGACAGAUGCUGGAGGUCUGCAUGAAAGGCAUGUAUUCUUCGCUUCCAGCACACAAGUCCUGCUUCUCCCACAGCAGAGGCUGAAAGGUGGGGACGGACCAUUGGCCUGGACAACCCCUCCACCUCUUUACCCUCUGUCAACUCCUUUAUGAUUCGAACUCUAAUGCCUUUAAAAAGUGUUUGACAGAUGGAUCAGAUUCCACUGAGGAUACAUGUAGCAGAUCAACAAGACCAAAUGUGAGAUACAAAGGCAAUGUGAGAUAUGCUGCCUGUUUGCAGUCAUGCAACAUGUUUUUUAUUUUUAUUUAUUUUUUCACUUAAUGAGAUUAAAGUUUUGGGCAGUU